This 291-nucleotide ribosomal RNA is filed under the name uncultured bacterium. RNAcentral describes it as "partial 16S ribosomal RNA". It matches the Rfam family "Bacterial small subunit ribosomal RNA", at positions 29 to 320 of the family's 1533-position model. The record is from RNAcentral.
ACGAACGCUGGCGGCGUGCUUAACACAUGCAAGUCGAGCGGUAAGGCCCUUUCGGGGGUACACGAGCGGCGAACGGGUGAGUAACACGUGGGUGACCUGCCCUCAGCUCUGGGAUAAGCCUGGGAAACCGGGUCUAAUACCGGAUAUGACUCCAUGACGCAUGUUGUGGGGUGGAAAGCCUUGUGCGGCUGAGGAUGGGCCCGCGGCCUAUCAGCUUGGUUGGUGGGGUGAUGGCCUACCAAGGCGACGACGGGUAGCCGGCCUGAGAGGGCGACCGGCCACACUGGGACU